AAUCAACGCUGGCGGCGUGCCUCAGACAUGCAAGUCGAACGCGAAAGUUCCCUUCGGGGAGCAAGUAGAGUGGCGCACGGGUGAGUAACACGUAGGUAAUUUGCCUUCGGGUGGGGAAGUAACAGUCGGAAACGACUGCUAAUACCGCAUAAUGCAGCGGCUCGACAUCGAGACAGUUGUUAAAGCGGGGGAUCCUUCGGGACCUCGCGCCUGAAGAGAAGCCUGCGGCAGAUUAGCUAGUUGGUGAGGUAAUGGCCCACCAAGGCUACGAUCUGUAACCGGCCUGAGAGGGGCGGUCGGGUCACACUGACACUGACA
This 318-nucleotide ribosomal RNA is filed under the name uncultured bacterium. Its description in RNAcentral is "bacterial SSU rRNA". It matches the Rfam family "Bacterial small subunit ribosomal RNA", at positions 32 to 324 of the family's 1533-position model. The record is from RNAcentral.